GACAGAGGGUGCGAACGUUGCUCGGAGUUACUGGGCGUAAAGCGCGUGCAGGCGGCACCGCACGUCGGGUGUGAAAGCCCGGGGCUCAACCCCGGACGUGCAUUCGAUACGACGGCGCUGGAGUACGGGAGAGGAGCGCGGAAUUCCCGGUGUAGAGGUGAAAUUCGUAGAUAUCGGGAGGAACACCAGUGGCGCAGGCGGCGCUCUGGACCGUCACUGACGCUGAGACGCGAAAGCGUGGGUAGCAAACAGGAUUAGAUACCCUGGUAGUCCACGCCGUAAACGAUGGGUACUGGGUGUCGCGGGUAUUGACCCCCGCGGUGUCGAAGCCAACGCGUUAAGUACCCCGCCUGGGAAGUACGGCCGCAAGGCUAAA
This 376-nucleotide ribosomal RNA is filed under the name uncultured bacterium. Its description in RNAcentral is "bacterial SSU rRNA". It matches the Rfam family "Bacterial small subunit ribosomal RNA", at positions 524 to 898 of the family's 1533-position model. The record is from RNAcentral.